GACGGAGGGUGCUAGCGUUGGUCGGCCUUACUGGGCGUAAAGGGCGCGUAGGCGGCCCCUUAAGUCGGGUGUGAAAGCCCGGGGCUCAACCCCGGAACGGCACCCGAGACUGCGGGGCUGGAGACCGGAAGAGGUGAGUGGAAUACCCAGUGUAGAGGUGAAAUUCGUAGAUAUUGGGUGGAACACCGGUGGCGAAAGCGCCUCACUGGUCCGGUUCUGACGCUGAGGCGCGAAAGCGUGGGGAGCAAACAGG
Molecule: ribosomal RNA, 253 nt
Filed under: uncultured bacterium
Lineage: Bacteria
Description: partial 16S ribosomal RNA
Rfam family: Bacterial small subunit ribosomal RNA
Source: RNAcentral